Molecule: long non-coding RNA, 1738 nt
Filed under: Felis catus (domestic cat)
Lineage: Eukaryota; Metazoa; Chordata; Mammalia; Carnivora; Felidae
Description: lncRNA (ENSFCAG00000043307.2)
Source: RNAcentral
CAGUUUGUUAGAUUACUAGCCACACCCUCUCAAACAUUAGAACAAUGAAUUGCUCAUUUCAAGUUCUACAAUUCUUCUCGAUUACAGGGGAAAGGAAGUGGCUUUCCCCUGUGCGUGAUUUUGUUCCCCGGACCAUCGAUGAAAUAUGCAGCAUUCUCCUACCUGGCUGAGAACUCGCUUUGAAAAUAUCGUCUCUAAUCCGUCUUCAUGUUUUCCAGCGGGAAUUUUUUUAUUCCCAUUUCCCAGAUGGAGUAACUGAGAGCAGAGUCCGGAGAGAGCUUGCUCAGGGACCGGAACCACAGGCAUUGGUGGUGGGGCUGAGGAUGAAUUCUCAUUUCCUGCCUCACAAUCCCUGGUAACCCGGGAAUGACCUUCCUGGGCAAUGUUAGAAACACGAACAUAUGAAAUGGAGAAGUUAGACUGCAGUCCCCUGGACCGCAUCCAGGACACUGAAAUGAGUGUCCUGCUCCUAUGAAAUGCAUUUGGAAAAUUAUCUGCUGUUCUGAACGUAAUUCGAGGUGAAGCAGGUCUUCCGUGGAGGCUCCGAGAGAAUCCCAGCCCCCUGGACCGUGACUUGCAGUCAAUGUCAACAAAGUUUCAAUCACUGCAAUGCGCAGGGAUGGAAGCUGUAUAAAAGAACCAAGAUGAGACGAAAUUUCACUUGGAGGAACGCUCCAGAGAUAAAAUUUCAGCCCCCAACCUGGCGUGAAGCAGCCCGCGUGCAUGUCCCACAUUCCGGCUGGCAUCUCAGGAAGCCCGAGGGCUGUCCAGUCACCUGCGGCAGCUACGGGAGCCUCCCUGCCUCGUUCUGGAGCUGCUCCCACCCCUCCCCAAUUUCAAAUGGCUCCUCCUUUCAGGCUGCUUCUUCUGCCCUGGGACCUGGCGUUGGUGUGUGUGGUGUGGUUUCCCUGCUUUUUGUUCUCAAGGAUUUGGGGCUGUGGAUGGCCAUCUGAAAAUACCCAAGUCUCCUGUGUGAGACACGAAAGAUGGGAGACAGCAAGCCUGUGGAGACUUGGGACCAGAGCAAGAGAACACAUGAGAAGUGAGCAGCCCAUGUACAGGACCGCUGGAGUUCUGGAAGGAUGCAGCUGUAUCUCAGAGGAUGGCUGGUGUGGGGGACAGUAUCUUGGGUGGAUACAGGACAGAGCUCAUCUGAAGCAGCAGGUCAUAAGGGUGGCAGAGCAAACCACUGAGAAUACAUAGGUUACCCAGCCCACAACACCAAGUUGGCAAGUGUAACAGUGGCCAGUCAGUGUGACAGCCCUCUCCCUACUGGAACAAAGACCAACCAGGGACAAGAAGAAAGAGGGAGAAGGAACUCUUGAUUGUGACUCGCUUAUAGCGGAUGAUAGCUGGGAGAUCACUGAAUUUAACUGUGUUUACCCCCAAAAUAAUUACAUUAACUUUUCUGUAUCUGUUUGAAUGAGGACUCAAGAUAGGAAGUCAGGCUAGAAACAGGAAAAGUAAAGAAAGGUACUUUUUUGUCCACCCGAGUCUGUGUUUUAUGAAAUGAACAGGCGUUAGUUACAUUAGCUUUUAUUUGUGAUUAUUGAGUAUUAAUAUUAUGCCAACUACUUUACACAUAUCAUCUCAUUUAAUCGUAACAGCUCUGUGAUGUUUGGAAUUGGAGGGAAGAAUUUAUCCAGGAUAACAUUUGUACCUUUGAAUUUCAAGCCCUGUGACUGUAUUGAUACCUAUGUAACAAUAAAUAUAAUUAAAAUAAUAAAACUGAAGUUCA